Alligator sinensis (Chinese alligator) is the source of this 574-nucleotide long non-coding RNA. RefSeq lists it as uncharacterized. The record is from RefSeq and is a predicted model, not a curated record. Lineage: Eukaryota; Metazoa; Chordata; Crocodylia; Alligatoridae. The transcript has 3 exons.
UGCAUGAGUAAACUGCAACAACUAAGCUAUUAUAAAUACAAGACAUAGCAUUGGCAGAUAAGGGUUUUAUGGUUGGGAGGGAAAUGGUAGAGUCUCUUUAAAAUGCUUGGAAGCUGAUAUCUUUAAAGUGGAGUAUGGCAGAAGAUCAAAGAAACAUCAGUAUUAACUAAAAGGAUAUGAUGUAAAGUAACUAUUACCUGGGCAAGUUACAGCAGUAUCCCCCACAGACCAGUUCCAAGUUCAUCUGCUCUUAACUAUAUUAAAUCAAAAAAGGAUAAAGUUCAAGAUAAUCACUGAUAACACCUCCUGUACUCAAGGGGAUUUCUCCACUGGCUACAUCUAGGCAGAACACCCCAAGACUCUGCCUUUCCAAGCAGAACAAGAGAUGCAGCAGGCCAGAGAUUCCAGCCUAAUCCCUCACUCAGUCACAGCAUCAUGAAGAUCAGUGCAGACUGCGUUUUGUCCAGCUUCUCUGAUGGAUUUUCUAGCCUGAACUAACCUUCACGCUUCCAUUGGCUACACCGCUUUUAGUAUCCAAACUUAGUUUAAAGCAAGCUCCAGUACAUUAAAACAC